RNAcentral lists this ribosomal RNA (497 nucleotides) under uncultured bacterium. RNAcentral describes it as "partial 16S ribosomal RNA". It matches the Rfam family "Bacterial small subunit ribosomal RNA", at positions 28 to 507 of the family's 1533-position model. The record is from RNAcentral.
GAUGAACGCUGGCGGCGUGCCUAAUACAUGCAAGUCGAGCGAACAGAUAAGGAGCUUGCUCCUUUGACGUUAGCGGCGGACGGGUGAGUAACACGUGGGUAACCUACCUAUAAGACUGGAAUAACUCCGGGAAACCGGGGCUAAUGCCGGAUAACAUUUAGAACCGCAUGGUUCUAAAGUGAAAGAUGGUUUUGCUAUCACUUAUAGAUGGACCCGCGCCGUAUUAGCUAGUUGGUAAGGUAACGGCUUACCAAGGCAACGAUACGUAGCCGACCUGAGAGGGUGAUCGGCCACACUGGAACUGAGACACGGUCCAGACUCCUACGGGAGGCAGCAGUAGGGAAUCUUCCGCAAUGGGCGAAAGCCUGACGGAGCAACGCCGCGUGAGUGAUGAAGGUCUUCGGAUCGUAAAACUCUGUUAUUAGGGAAGAACAAAUGUGUAAGUAACUGUGCACGUCUUGACGGUACCUACUCAGAAAGCCACGGCUAACUACGUG